This is a long non-coding RNA of Hydra vulgaris (swiftwater hydra), 621 nucleotides long. RefSeq lists it as uncharacterized. NCBI's taxonomy places the organism in Eukaryota, Metazoa, Cnidaria, Hydrozoa, Anthoathecata, Hydridae. The record is from RefSeq and is a predicted model, not a curated record.
CUUUAGUUAUAACUUAAUUAAUAAUGAUUUGAUUUAUAAAUUUUUAAAGCAAUACAAGAUUGAAUUUAGCAUAAGGCUAAAUUUCUGCUCUGGAGACAAAAAAGGAAGACAGCGAAAAUGACCAGUCAAAAUAAAGAUUGAAGAGACAAAAAAUUGUGUAUAUCUUGGUGUAGAUGAUUUAUCCUCAUUUUCUAAUAAUAAAACAAAAAAUAUUAUUAAACUUUGAGAUUUACCUGUAACUCCAAAAUCUUUACAGAAGUUUAAUGUUUGCUCUGAGAAGUUGAAUGAACAAAAUUAUUAAAUGUCGUCAUUGAAGUACAACUUGGUAAACUACAAAACACAUCAAAUUCAGUUAUAAAAAUUUGAGUAACAAAGGUAUACUAAUUAUUGUAUUGCCUGAAAGAGUGUCAUUGCUAUUAAAAGCAGUGAAGAAUUCAAGUACUCCGGAAGAAAAGAAAAUACGUAAGUAAAUGGUCAAUUAUUUGGCACAAAUCAGAGUUAAAGACAAAGGAGAUUGUAUAUUUUAUUUGCUAAGAAUAGUUUUUUAAAAUGGCCUAGUUGUAAAUUAAACUAUGCAGGGAGAGGACAAAAAAUUGGAAUAGAAAAAAUAUUGAUUGCAUA